The sequence is a non-coding RNA, 222 nucleotides long. It matches the Rfam family "HNH endonuclease-associated RNA and ORF (HEARO) RNA". The record is from Rfam.
GUCAGGGACUCAGGGCUGAAGCCACGCUCGCUUGUAAGAGCAAUACUCAAAACAAGCUGUUCUGACCAGUCUAAGUAAAUUUACUCCGUUAUUUAGGUCACGACACCGGAGAAUGCGACGCUAGUUUUCCGCUCUGUCGGUAGUAAUUAAACAGUUCUAAAGUCACUGGAACAGUGUUGCUACCCUAACAAGCCUACAUAACAUUGACGAAGCGAACGUUAC